Phalacrocorax carbo (great cormorant) is the source of this 3755-nucleotide non-coding RNA. The record is from RefSeq and is a predicted model, not a curated record. Lineage: Eukaryota; Metazoa; Chordata; Aves; Suliformes; Phalacrocoracidae.
AACAAAGUAUUGAUUUUUAGCUAAGUUUCAUGGGAGGAAGCACAAUUUUUCUAGUGUGAAAGUUCAGGCAGGCUCUAAUAACUUCCUGUGUAAUUAAGUUGCUGGUGUUCUGCCAACCUGCAGGGAGCAGCAUCUCAAGAAGGCAAAACAGGGGGACAGCCGCGCCAGUACCCUUGGCCACACGCUGAGCAGAGACAGGCAGGGGAGCAAGGCCAUGGACUUCUGCAGAGGGCUGCACUCUCCAAAAGCUCUAGGAGCCAGCGUGAGCCCUCAGGGGCCACCAUGGCCAUCUCCAGUGGCCUGGAUUCGCUUCCAGUCUUUGGCUUCCCUUCUCAUUUCUGCGCUGGAGUGAAGAGCCUUGUUAGACUGGCUACCUCCUCUCUACUGUCCCUUAGCCAGCCAUUUGAUAGCCUUUGUGCCACAGCAUUGCUCUAAAGGCCAUGCAAGGUUUUCCUGGAAUCACAGUUGGAAGGGUCUCAGUCGAGCAUGCAUGCGUAGCAACUUCCUCUGCCAGCGCUCACACGCGUACGUCUUCCUCACUGCAACUCGCAUGUACUGCCCAUGCCUGUCCACCCACACAACCACAAAAGCAGAAGAAGCUGUGAAAACACAAACGAAAAUGGUGUAGUAGCUACUCUGUGACACAAUGGAAAAUGUUUUGCUGAAUAUUGUGCACUUCUAAAUAAGUACAGCCACUAGCUGCAAGGAUCUGUGAAAGUGUCAUUGUAAGGCUGAUGGACAGCAUCCAUUCUUAAUGGAAAUGUUGCUAGCUUUGUCAGCAAUGGAAAUCGUUGAAGAGUAUUUGGGAUAUUUCUGUCCCUGAAAGCUCUGCUCUUUAGGCCACAUUAUGAGAUAUAGAUAUAUAUAUCUAUCUGAUAUGUAUUACAAGUGUUUGUAACUCUACUACCUGCUUGGGAUUGAUCAAGGCAUUAUUCUCUUCAUUUCUAAAUCAGACUCCAUGGCUCCUAGAUGUACAUGUUCUUGUAUUACCCACUAACAGUGUGUUUUAAUUUUUACUGAAAAUAUUAUCUUUGGUACAUGUCUCUGACUGUGGUUUGGUGUGGAGCCAGUGCAAUAUGGUCUUGCCCAAGCAGAAGAUAUCCAUCUGGCAUUCUUCUUCCCACAGGAGGGGAAAAAAAUCUUUGGAAGGAAAGGAAGUCCUGCAGGGGAGGAUAUCUACUGCUCUAGCACCAUGGCCCCGAGCAUUUUCUGUGUUGCUGUGGGAGUGUAACUGAUGCGCCUCAUUAGAGUUUGAGAUUGUGGCCAUAAAAUAUGGAUCUGCUAAAGUCUGGGUGUAGAAGACACGGGCAUCCUACAGUUCCGACCAGUGCAGAUGAGAGUCUAUUAUGGAUGAUGAAAACAAGAUACCGCCACUCUGGGAUUGAAACUAUACUCAUAUCCAGUAAGAGAAUGGAAAGAAGUGUCUGCUUUUGAACUCUAGGAAACAGCAGAAAAGAGGCCGACAGAAACCUGUGGUCACUGUGCAUAACAGAGCUCUUUCCCCAUGCUCUUCAAAGCCCCCUCCUUUUCUCAUAUGCUGUCUACAAACAGAAAGAAGACCAGCUGGUGUCUCUUCUGGAAAUAACGGGGCUGGCCAAGAGUGGCUUGUGAAAAGAAGCAAGAACAGCAUGUUUUCAUGGUAAUAAAUUGUACAAGAUUGUCGUCGUGGUUUAGACAAGAGUCUGAAGGGAAACCCAGCCAUGUUCUUCCUGAUCCAUGAGGAGCACAGAUGACGUACUCUACAGAAGCUUUCCUGCAGAACUGUUGUGAUCCAGCCCUUUUCCAGAGUGUCACAGUUUAUACGUCAAUGAAUUGCCUGUGACUUCUACUAGUGGUUGCUGCUUUUUAUUUAUCAAUAUGUACUGGGCUGCCAUUCACUUGGCCUUGUUAGGGUCCUCUCCAUGUUUUUCCUGAAUUUUGGCCAAUACUAGAUAUCUGCCUCUGUGUGUGUGUGUGUUCUGCAGAUGCUCCCACAUAAUCACAUAGACCUUUCUUGGGUUCAUUCCCAUCAACAGCCCUGCUAGAAGACAUGAGACACCCUCUGCCUCAGUUUCUGUCAGGCCAUCUAGGUUGUUUGUACUUACUCUUCAUUUCACGCCUCUGUACUCUGCUCCAGUUGUUAGUGCAGAGUUGUUACCCGAGAUCAUGCAGGCACAUCUGAGCUGCCUUUGAACUUGUUAGCUCAGGUGAAGCUGGCAGCAGUAGGUAGUGUGGGAGGCUGCGAGCCCUCAUGGUUUGCACAGCCUCUGUUAGGUAGCUGUGAUGAUCUCUGUGCUGAUACACCUACCUUCCUGCAGUACGGGAACUACACUAGCAAAAAAUGACUUGCGUAAAUCUCCUCAGCCACAUUUCUGAGGGCACCUUGCUCAUGGCCUUCCUGUCCUAGCCAUGAGGAGGGUUUCUCUGGCAUCCCAGUCUGCCAUGUGUGUUAAACAGCCUUUCUGGGAAAAAAAAAGAAGCUUUAUCAAAGGCUUUUUGGCAGCUCUAGUGCAUUAUAUCCACUGAAGUAAUUCCACUGAUUCCAGCUUUUUUUAUAGGCCUCCAUCUAACAAAGCUCAGAAGCGGUUGCUUAGUAUUAAGCUACUGUCAGUGGGAGGGAUUUUUCCUAUGCUCAAAUGUAAAAGCAUACUCCUAUGCCAUACUCAGAGAAGGCUUUCUGUUUCAGUACUUGUCUGAAGAAACAGGCUAUUUCAUGGCAUGCAAGUCUUUCUUUACACUUUAAUUCCUAAAAACCUCCUUCCUGUAGCAUGCAGAGCAGGUACAGUUUCUGUGGUCCUACUUACUGAUAGCUGGAAAUGUUGGAUGCACUAUCUUUAUAAACUCAGGCCAAAAGAGCAUUCAGAUUAAGCAAUAAUUUGAGCAAGAUUAAGAGGAAGGGAGAGAACACACGGCCAGUUAGUCACCAGAAGUACACACGUAUGCAUAAAAUAAAUCCCCAACCUGUUAUAGUAAUGCACUUGGUUACUGGAAAUGCAAUACGAGCUUACUUUCAUGAGCAAGGAUGAAAGAACUUGUUUAACCUUUGUACAGCAUUUUCCACCCACACAGAAAAGUGACAUCAGAUGCUUCAUAUAGGUAAAAAACAAGUCAGCAUUUGGGAGACUCCCGAACAAGAGACAGAGAUACAUCCUUAGCACUAAGUCUGUUCACUUAACUUGCGACAUGCUUACGGUGGGUCACCUGAAACUUCUCUUUAGUUAUUUCUGGAUCUUAAUGACUCUGAUGCAGAAAGACAACCCUUCAGCCCUGUGCGUAAAGCACUGGACAUGAAGCACUUGCUAGAAGGUAUUUUGUGCUUGUGUAUGCAGUAUAAAGUAAGGAUUUUGCAUUUACAUCGGGGAAUAUUUCAGUUUCAGACAUGCUUGAAUACAAUUGAAUCAUUGGCACUGAAAAGGGAUCUUCACAAGGUCAGUCAUUAGCCAGCCUUUAAGUAAGAGCAUAAAGCUUUGGAAUAGGAGUUUAAAUGAGCAUCACCGAGACAGCUAAGGAAGAUGCAAGCUGGAAGUGUCUACACCUGUGCAACACCUGGCUGGAUUUCAGUCCACCUCGGUGCCACCUAAAAAGUACUGUAGUAUUUCUGAACUUCAAGAUUUCUAAUCUGUGUAUCUCCAUGCUAAUAUUUCGUGUCACUUUCAAAACAGGUUGGGGCUUAGUGCUUGCAUGUGCCAGCAUACAAGAAGAAAGGAUUUAGUUUUAAUUGCUGUUUUUGACCUAUGGGAACACCCCUAUUCCUUUUUCCUCCCUCCUGCCCGCCC